AUAUUGGACAAUGGGCGAAAGCCUAAUCCAGCUACGCCGCUUGAGGGUUGAUUGCCUUCGGGUUGUAAACCUAUUUCAGUAGGGACGAUGCGAAAGUGACGGUACCUACAGAAAAAGGACCGGCCAACUACGUGCCAGCAGCCGCGGUAAUACGUAGGGUCCGAGCGUUGUCCGGAAUUAUUGGGCGUAAAGGGCUCGUAGGCGGUUUGUCGGGUCGAGAGUGAAAACUCAGGGCUCAACCCUGAGCGUGCUUCCGAUACGGGCAGACUAGAGUUAUGCAGGGGAGAACGGAAUUCCUGGUGUAGCGGUGGAAUGCGCAGAUAUCAGGAGGAACACCGGUGGCGAAGGCGGUUCUCUGGGCAUUACCUGACGCUGAGGAGCGAAAGCAUGGGGAGCGAACA
Molecule: ribosomal RNA, 401 nt
Filed under: uncultured bacterium
Lineage: Bacteria
Description: partial 16S ribosomal RNA
Rfam family: Bacterial small subunit ribosomal RNA
Source: RNAcentral